UAUUUAAGUUGUUGCAGUUAAAAAGCUCGUAGUUGGAUUUUGGUUAAGAGGGCGCGGUCGGCCGUUUGGUCUGUACUGCGUUGUCUGGACUUCCUGAUGAGGACGUGCUCUUGGUUAACGCUGAGACAUGGAGUCAUCGUGGUUACUUUGAAAAAAUUAGAGUGUUCAAAGCGGGCUUACGCUUGAAUAUAUUAGCAUGGAAUAACACUAUAGGACUCCUGUCCUAUCUCGUUGGUCUCGGGAUGGGAGUAAUGAUUAAGAGGAACAGUUGGGGGCAUUCGUAUUUCAUUGUCAGAGGUGAAAUUCUUGGAUUUAUGAAAGACGAACUUCUGCGAAAGCAUUUGCCAAGGAUGUUUUCAUUAAUCAAGAACGAAAGUUGGGGGCUCGAAGAUGAUUAGAUACCAUCCUAGUCUCAACCAUAAACGAUGCCGACUAGGGAUUGGUGGAUGUUAAUUGAUGACUUCACCAGCACCUUAUGAGAAAUCAAAGUUUUUGGGUUCCGGGGGGAGUAUGGUCGCAAGGCUGAAACUUAAAGGAAUUGAC
This 543-nucleotide ribosomal RNA is filed under the name uncultured Chlorophyta. Its description in RNAcentral is "SSU rRNA". It matches the Rfam family "Eukaryotic small subunit ribosomal RNA", at positions 602 to 1157 of the family's 1831-position model. Lineage: Eukaryota; Viridiplantae; Chlorophyta. The record is from RNAcentral.